RNAcentral lists this ribosomal RNA (795 nucleotides) under uncultured bacterium. RNAcentral describes it as "bacterial SSU rRNA". It matches the Rfam family "Bacterial small subunit ribosomal RNA", at positions 8 to 796 of the family's 1533-position model. The record is from RNAcentral.
AGAGUUUGAUCAUGGCUCAGAUUGAACGCUGGCGGCAUGCUUUACACAUGCAAGUCGAGCGGCAGCGCGGGGGCAACCCUGGCGGCGAGCGGCGAACGGGUGAGUAAUGCAUCGGAACGUGUCCCGUAGUGGGGGAUAACCCGGCGAAAGCCGGACUAAUACCGCAUAUGCUCUACGGAGGAAAGCGGGGGAUUCGCAAGAACCUCGCGCUAUGGGAGCGGCCGAUGUCCGAUUAGCUUGUUGGUGGGGUAAUGGCUUACCAAGGCGACGAUCGGUAGCUGGUCUGAGAGGAUGAUCAGCCACACUGGGACUGAGACACGGCCCAGACUCCUACGGGAGGCAGCAGUGGGGAAUUUUGGACAAUGGGGGCAACCCUGAUCCAGCCAUGCCGCGUGCGGGAAGAAGGCCUUCGGGUUGUAAACCGCUUUUGUCCGGAAAGAAAAGGCACCUCCUAAUACGGGGUGCUCUUGACGGUACCGGAAGAAUAAGCACCGGCUAACUACGUGCCAGCAGCCGCGGUAAUACGUAGGGUGCGAGCGUUAAUCGGAAUUACUGGGCGUAAAGCGUGCGCAGGCGGUCCGCAAAGUCUGAUGUGAAAGCCCCGGGCUCAACCUGGGAACUGCAUUGGAAACUAACGGGCUCGAGUGUGGCAGAGGGGGGUGGAAUUCCACGUGUAGCAGUGAAAUGCGUAGAGAUGUGGAGGAACACCGAUGGCGAAGGCAGCCCCCUGGGCUAACACUGACGCUCAGGCACGAAAGCGUGGGGAGCAAACAGGAUUAGAUACCCUAGUAGUCC